RNAcentral lists this ribosomal RNA (491 nucleotides) under uncultured bacterium. RNAcentral's name for it is "partial 16S ribosomal RNA". It matches the Rfam family "Bacterial small subunit ribosomal RNA", at positions 29 to 506 of the family's 1533-position model. The record is from RNAcentral.
AGUGAACGCUGGCGGUAGGCCUAACACAUGCAAGUCGAACGGCAGCACAGUAAGAGCUUGCUCUUACGGGUGGCGAGUGGCGGACGGGUGAGGAAUACAUCGGAAUCUACUUUUUCGUGGGGGAUAACGCAGGGAAACUUACGCUAAUACCGCAUACGGCCUACGGGUGAAAGCAGUGGAUCUUCGGACCUUGCGCGAUUGAAUGAGCCGAUGUCGGAUUAGCUAGUUGGCGGGGUAAAGGCCCACCAAGGCGACGAUCCGUAGCUGGUCUGAGAGGAUGAUCAGCCACAGUGGAACUGAGAGACGGGCCAGACUCGUACGGGAGGCAGCAGUGGGGAAUAUUGGACAAGGGGCGCAAGCCUGAUCCAGCCAUACCGGGUGGGUGAAGAAGGCCUUCGGGUUGUAAAGCCAUUUUGUUGGGAAAGAAAAGCAGCAGGUUAAUACCCCGCUGUUCUGACGGUACACAAAGAAUAAGCACCGGCUAACUUCGU